UUUUAUGAUGUAUAAAUUCGAUACGGAGUGUUUCUCCUACAUUUUUGUAUGCGGCCUACAUGAAUACACAAAGAAGGUUUACAAUAACAAGAUACGAAUUUAGGCGGUAUCCGCAACAAAGUCUUGUAUCACAGUCCUUACAGCAACUGGAAUUCGAACUGAGUGGGUACUUCCGUCUGACCAUGUCAAGCUCCCGAAAGUGUAUCCUCCUUGCACUCUCUGCCUUGUGGUGAAUGUCACCAUAAAUGUUGCGCUUCUACUGCUUCCUUUGGUGAAAGUAAUCACAGAUGGUUCUACCGACACAUCUAUACCUGCUGGAGCUUCAACCACUAAAUGAUAUGUUGCUUCCGCUGGCCCAACGUUAGUCACAGCGCGCCGAAGCAUGACAUGGUCCUUGAGGUCCGGCACGACAAUUGACGGGAGGUUGAGAUUGAGGUAGUAGGACUCACAACCAUCUAAAUAUCCAAGAGUGCAGUUCAAAAACUUGUUGUACUCUCUUGCAUCCACGUCAUAAACCAAGCCAGGGUCAACAGCUCUAUCUGGGUCUAUAUGUCCACCACCAAAGUCGAAGGGGUCAGCUAGUUUCCUUGGGACCGCUUCUGCUUGGAUUGGCAUGCCAAAACGAUCAGUCACAGAUGCUGCAACCAAGACAAGAAACAAUCAAAUCAGUUUUAUAUUUUGACGAAUUGUUUUCAUGUAUUUUUUGUAUUUCAAUGUUCACACCUGUGGUGACGAUGGCAGACUUGAUUAUGGCAGGUGACCAGCCAGGGUGAACCGACUUGAGCAGUGCGGUCACAGCGGAGACAUGCGGGCACGCCAUGGAUGUCCCGGAUUUGAACACGUAGGAGUCGCGGUCCGCUGCCAAGAUGCUGACGCCAGGUGCAGCAAUGUCGGGCUGUUCAAACAUGUGUAUUGAGAAUUAGUUAAGAAGUCGUAAGUUAAGAAAAAUUAGGAAGGCUAGGUAACAAACAAGACAAUGGCAACAAUUGUCUCAAGUUAAGAAAUUGAGAAUGAUAUAUACCUUGAGUAUGCUAGGGAACAACAUGCUUGGACCUCUCGACGAGAAUGAGGCGACCCUCGGCGACAACACCCCUUUUCCGACAACGGUCAUGGCAGGUGACACCUUCACCACCGCAUUCCUAGCAUGACACGUGACUGGCAUGAGUUUCCGGAGAAGAAGAAAACGCAUUCAAAUCUGUUUCAGACAACACGACAUGCACUCACCCUUUGUCCCAACUCCAAUAGGAGGCAAUUCGUUGUGCGAUCUCAAAAUCCACCACUACACAGGGCAUAACGCCCCUACACAAAGGCAGGAAGUCGAGGAGGUUAGUAGUGUACUGUGCAAAUAUGAGGCCCUUGGCGCCAGCCAUGGUGGUGAGAUUGAUGGCUAUGGGAAGUGCUUGUCGAGGCGGCAUGCUUCUCGCCGCCACGGGUUGAUAGCAUAGGACGAUUUUACCGGUGACGUUGCUCAAUGCCAGUGACGACUCCGUGUCACAGCUGCGCAGAAGUUGUAAUUCAGUAUAGUUGAUAAAACACUGAAUCGUGGUUACAAAAGUGGACAACUACAACAAAUGCGUCAAGUGAUUACAGAUGCAUAACUACAGAAGUUUUAUUUCAUUACCUCCCGGCAUAAACAAGGUCUUUAAAGUUGCCGCUGAUCACAGAUGCAUUGUUGUGAAGAGAUUGCCCCUGUAUUUCGAAUCAAGCACACAUUAAUAAGUAAUUAAAGGAAUCAGGGAAAGCUGGCUUCAGGGACGAGCUAAAUGUACUUUUUGUUUGUUUCCACGCUCUGAGACGAAUCAAGUUAAUUUGUCAAAAACUAUAAAACCAAUUUUAUAGCCCCGGAUCUAUCAUUUCCUCAGACCAAAUAAAUACUUGGAGAAUGUUUGUUUGUAGCAUGCACGUACCACAAGCUUUUCUUUGUUUCCGAGCGAUAUCAAGGUCGGGAAAGACCGGUCAAUCGUGCUAGCGGCCACCGUUGUAACCCACGGUUGGGCAUUAGCCACCGUUUGUGGCACAGGGCCAUCAUUCCCUCCGGCAAACACGAUAGAGAUCCCUCUUUGCACAGCAUGCAGUGUCCCAGGAAACUCGUGACCAGCCCCAGCAAUCGAGAGCGACAAGACGUCCACACCAUCAUGCAUAGCAUCAUCGAUAGCCGCGAGGACCGCUGCUUCAGGGCAACUCCCACCCAACCAACACACCUUGUAGAUACUGAGGCGCGCACGUGGCGCCCCGCCGCGUGCCACGCCCAUGCCUAGGCCUCCGUAGCUCACGCCCUGCACUUCCCUGCCAGCGAUGGUCGACGCGACGUGUGUGCCAUGGCCUUCAAUGUCCCUAGGCGACUUAUAGUUUCUGUUUAGCACCUCGUCACUGAUUCCACGCCCAUACCACCGCGCACCGAUGAUCUUUUUGUUGCAACUUGUGGCGUUGAAAUCCUGACCAGUCUGGCAUUUCCCUUUCCACCGUGCCGGCACAGGGCCAUACCCAUUGUCAUCAAAGCUUCGUGAUUCAGGCCAUAUGCCUAUAAAUAAGCAUGGGAAUCAAUUGAUUCGGUAUCGGAAUUUCUCAUAUUCAGGAUUUAAGCUUGAGGGGUCGGACUGCAAACCUGUAUCGAUCACACCCACGAUGACAUCUUCACCAUACUUUGCUUUUCUGAGUAGGCCCGGUUGUUGUCUUGGUUGGUUAUGGUCAAGGCCAAGAAAGUCCCAGCUCCGAGUUGUGUGCGUUUCGUGAUAAGUGUUAGGCUUCACAGUGACAACUUCUGGGAAUUCUACAUCAAAAAUAUGUUGAUUAGUUCUUGUCGGUCAUCCAAGUAGAUACGAUGAUAGGUAGGAGCCUAUAGGACUGACAAUCACUUACUUGCGAUUGUCUCAGCCUGAGACUCGGUGAGCAUCGCCGCAAAACCAGAAAAUCCAUGCUUGUAACUGUAAACUAUCGACCUCAAGGCUUCAUCCUUGCUGUUGUCAAGUAAAAUGAGGGUGAGCAAGUCACGACUAAUACGUCGACGAUGCAACAUGAACUCACAUGAACUCCUGAUUGUUUUUGUUUUGAACAAAAUGAAUUGGUAGCUAGUUACAGUACCUCCCAAAAACAGAGGUUAGCAUGUCACGGUGAGACGCGGUGACCAUGGAUGGGUCAUCAUGCUUCUUCUCCCCCAUAUACACGAUGUAGAGCUGAAAUUCAUUUUGUCGCAUAAGUUCUCAACAAAAAACAGAUAUCAGGAAAGAAAGCAAAUUGAGAGAGGACUCGGGUGUGUAUCUUACUUUACUCGACGCGUUAGCUGAAACAGGCAGCAGUAUUACCAGCAGUAGGAGAGCGCCACAGAAUGCUGUUCUGGAAUCCAUAUCUUGCUUGGAGAAGAGUGCUAUGUUGUUGUGUUUGUGUUCCCUCGUUCGGUUUGUAUGUCUAUAUAGCAGCCAGGAGCAAUAAGGAUGGGGUGCAAGAACAGUUCAAACCAAUUUGUUUGAGUGUCUUUUUUCUCAUUUCAGAGGGAAUGUUUCAGUGUUGUUAGUUAGGUGACAGCGACACACACGCGUGAGGAGCAAAGACUAAUCCUUUUGUCUAUAUAGGAAUCCCCGUGCUUUUUGUAAUGAGGAAGAAGCACCAUGCUUUGAUCAGGUCCUGGCGGCUAUUAGUACCAAACCGGAUAUAGAUCUUAAUUAAUUAUAUGCUCUCUCGUGCAAUGACCUGGUCGACUUUCAAACAAGCUUCCACGGCUUUGCACAUGGGUCUUAAUCGUUCCACAUGCGUCUUAAUCGUUCUACAAACGCGGGCGGCGGUAUAGGUAAUACGUAACAAAGUUGACAAACGUGACACAUUCAAAUAUUCCAUGGGCACGUCAAGGAUAUAGACCCGCCAACUUUCCUAUAAUCGCAUGUACUCAAAGAUGUAACUUUGCCUGUUUUCAAAUAAAGUUCCAAGAGACUUUUUCUUCGAAAAAUAAAUUUACAAGGGCAAAGACUGGUUUUGCUGAUCCGUUUCUCCAGCUAUUACAUUAUAUAAAUCCAGUAAUUCGAGCCGACAUAGUGUGAUGUGGUCGCCUCUCUAAGCUCGUCUCAUGGUUUUCAAUUCUUUCACUGAGAAAGCCAACUAACAAGUAUUUAAAGAGAACACACAUUUAUGGAAAACAUAGGCCCGAGAAUGGAUAUUGGGACGUUACAUAGACAUCAUCAAUCAUAUCAUAGUGCACAUAACAAAGCAUGUAAAACCAAGCUCAUGUUCUCCUACUUUUGUAGGCAUGUAUUAGUAUGUAGUUGAACUUGCUUAUUUAUAAGAACAAGAGCUUGCCCGGCAUCUAUAGUCCUACCCUCCCAUGUCACGGUGAUCAUAGUUUAAACAAAGGGUAAUUAAGGCGUCAUUUUGUGAGACAACCGUACCAACACAUUAACACUUCGUGAAUACAUGGAAACAUCAAAUCACAACACUCCCCAUUGAUAUCCCGGUCACCCUCGGGGUCACUUUUGAGGCUAUAAUAGGUACAUAUCACACUUGCAAGUACAAUCCAGACACAUUGGCAUCAUGAAAACUUAUAUGGUUAAUAUAUGAUACCACAUUACUUGGGCCCUAUUAGUAGACAUUAAGCAUAACAAAGUUGUAUCAAAACCCUAUAAUCUUAGCACUACUAUAUGAUUGGCAUCGUCAAAUUCCCAUCCACCUGCCUACAACAGAUUACUUGCAUAUGGAUGGAAGAAACAUGAUGGAGAUGAGAGGAAAAGAGUUGAUGGCGGUGGAACUCCCUCUUAGUGUGCAGAAUCAACCUCUCGACAACCCUCCUAGACGAGGAUUAGCGAUGGUGUCGACCGUCAAGUGUCAGGAUAAUAUGGCAUAAAUUUCGUGGAACUUAGAACGCCAAGAGAAAUUGAUAGCCGGAAGGAGAUGAUGGGAGACAACCUUUGGAUCCCCACGCGGGUGGCUCACACAACCUCCUCCAUAGCCAGCGUGAGGAGUGGGGCAUUAAGGUCAAUGAUACUCAAAUCGGAAGAGACAUAUCGAGGACGAGGUAAGGGUGGGGGAUAAUCCAUCAUUACAAAAGGAAUGUGAAACCGAAUUUUAUUAAACUAAUUUUCAUGUGUAUUAGAUUAUUUUUUUCACCCGCCAAAGAAUCCUAUCUGGAGCAAUAGAAUUAAAAUGGACAUGGGCGCUCAGAACAAUUAAUUGACAAACGCAAAAAUAAGGAUCUUGAAGUUUGGACCCAAGGACAACAAGGCAUAAAAAUUUUGAUAUCACAAAGGAAAUCGUGCAAACUACAAUGUAAAUCUAAAUUAACUUCAAUGUACUAACACGAGCAUUUUGGACAUUAGCAGCCAUUCAUGAAUUCGGUGAUUUUGGCCCAGCUAAGAAAAUUUGAUCGUGUUUAUUUCUUUUCACUUCCAGUUUAGAAACGUUUUCAUCCAGAAAGAAAGGUUCCGGAGAUUUGAUCCGUCGUUCUCCCUUAGUCUAUUUCAUGUCGAUAUGAUCCGUGGUUUUCUCAUUAAUUCAUUUUUCGUAAAAGUUUGUGAAUAAACCUCUCCUUAGCAAAGAAUCGUAUUUUAUUCCAGUAUAACAUUUCCUGUGAUGAUGUACAAAAUUAAAGUGUUUCUUCUACAUUUUCUUAUGCCAACCACACGAAUACAUAAAUUAUGUGUAUAAUACAAAGAAUAUGAGCUUAAGAUGUAUCUGCAACAAAGUCUUGUAUCACAGUCCGUACCGCAAUAGGAAUUCUCACUGAGUGGGUACUUCCGUCUGACCAUGUCAAGCUCCCAAAAGUGUAUCCUCCUUGUACUCUCUGCCUUGUUGUGAAUGUCACCAUAAACGUCACACUUUUACUAGUGCUUUGGGUGAAAUUGAUCACAGAUGGCUCUACGGACACGUCUAUCCCCGCUGGAGCUUCAACCACUAAAUGAUAUGUUGCUUCCGCUGGCCCAAUGUUAGUCACGGUGCGCCGAAGCAUGACACGGUCCUUGAGGUCUGGCACGGCAAUUGACGGAAGGUUGAGAUUGAGGUAGUAGGACUCACAGCCGCCUAAAUAUCCAAGGGUGCAGUUGAAAAACUUGUUGUACCCCCUUGCAUCAACGUCGUAAACCAAGCCAGGGUCAACGGCUCUAUUUGGGUCAAUGUGUCCACCACCAAAGUCGAAGGGGUCGGCUAGUUUCCUUGGGACUGCUUCUGCUUGGAUUGGCAUGCCAAAACGAUCGGUCACAUAUGCUUCAACCAAUGCCAAGGAAUCAUCAAGUUAGUCAUAUAUUCAAAUGAGUUAUUUUGACGUAUUUUGGUUAUUACUUUCCUACCUGUGGUGACGAUGGCCGAUUUGAUCAUGGCAGGUGACCACUGAGGGUGAACCGACUUGAGCAUCGCAGUCACUGCGGAGACAUGUGGGCACGCCAUUGAUGUCCCAGAAUAGAACACGUAGGAGCCGCGCACCGCUGCCAAUAUGUUGACGCCAGGAGCAGUAAUGUCGGGCUGUCAAAACAUUAAUUUUUAUCAUGAAUUAGGUAUGUAAGUCUUUAAUUCUGAAAAACUAGAGAGGCUAGAUAGCAAACAAACAGUGACAAAAAUUCAACUAUUUGCCUUAAGUUGAUAAUGAUAUACACCUUCAGUAUGCCAGGGAACAAUAGGCUUGGAUCUCUGGAGGAGAACGAGGCGACCCUCGGCGACAACACCCCAUUUCCAACAACACUUACAGCCGGAGACACCAUCACCACCGGAUUCCUAGACACAUGACAAACAUGAAUUAGUUCUUGUAUAAGGAGAUGGCAAACUGAGUGUUCAAAUAUUUUCACGCUGCAGUUUCCAACAAUUCGACAAAUUCUCACUCAGUCAUGUCCCAGUAGGAGAAAAUUCGAUGUGCGAUCUCGAAAUCCACCAGAGCGCAAGGCAUAAAUCCCUCGCACCCGACCAGGCUGUCAAGAUUGUUGGCGGUGUAUUGUGCGAAGAUGAGGCCCUUUGCACCGGCCUCAAUAGUGUAAUUGAUGGCAUAAGGGAGUAUUAACUGGGGCGACCACCGCGAUGCCUCUUCUGGUGCAUAACAAAGGACGGUUUUGCCCUUGACAUUGCCCAAGGCCAGUGAUUCCGGGUCGCAGCUGCUCAAAAGUAUUAAAAUUGAACAUGGUUUUGUCCUAAAGCGCGGCAUUUACUAUUAAUCAAAUGUCGUCAAGAGACUGGUUUCUUUCAUUACCUCCCAGCAAAAACAAGGGCCUGAGAGCCGCUGUUAUUCAUAGCUGCAUUGUAAUUUAGAGAUUGCCCCUGCGUUUGAAAUUGAUCACAAAUUAAAGAACAAGCUAACUGAGGAAAGCUACAAGAUACGAUAUAGUUGGUGGAGAACCAGCAAUGAUUUAAGUAAAGCUUCAAGGAGGAGCAAACCAUUUAUUUUCCCCGGGUUGGUUUGAACGUCACUUUCGUGCUCAGAGAGUCAAAAGGUUAUUAUUUAGUAAAAUUGUAGGAAAAAAAUCCAGAUUGACCAAUCCUCCACAUUCAUGCUAUCUUAUAUGAACUAUUUCAGGAUUGGAGCACGUCUUAUCCAAUAACAUUUUUCACCUGUUUUUUUAUCCAUUAUUAAUAUUUUCCAUGGGGUUUUUCAAUCCCUUGAGAAGGGCAAGGUAAUACUUCCCUGUAAUAUUUCUUAAGAGAUGGAAAAUAUAAGAAAUAAUUUACAUACUUUUCUAAAACAAAGGAGUGAAAUUGUUUGGUACGUACCAUCAGCUUUUCUUUGUUCCCAAGCAAUAUUAGGGUCGGAAAAGACCGGUCAAUCGUGCUAGCGGCCACCGUCGUAACCCAUGGCACGGCAUUCGUCACUGUCUGUGGCACAGGGCCAUCAUUCCCUCCGGCGAACACGACGGAGAUCCCUCUUUGCACAGCAUGCAACGUCCCAGAGUACACCUGACCAACCCCUCCAACAGAGAGCGACAAGACGUCAACCCCAUCAUGUAUGGCGUCAUCGAUGGCAGCAAGGACCGCCGCGUCAGGGCAACCCUCAUCCACCCAGCACACCUUGUAGAUACCAAGUCGUCAAUGUGGUGCUCCGCCACGUGCCACGCCCAUGCCUAGGCCUCCAUAGCUCACGCCCUGCACUUCCCCACCGGCGAUAGUUGAGGCGACGUGUGUGCCAUGGCCAUUGAGGUCCCUAGGUGACUUGUAGUCGAUCUUUAGUGACUCGGCACUGAUGCCACGGCCAUACCACCGCGCACCGAUGAUCUUUCUGUUGCAACCAGUGGCGUUGAACUUCUGGCCACUCUGGCAUUUUCCUUUCCACCGUGCCGGCACGGGGCCAUAGCCGUUGUCAUCAAAGCUUCGUGAUUCAGGCCAUAUGCCUAUAAAGAAGCAUUUACAUCCAUGGGGUUAAUUGAUUCCUGGUCUUGGGAUUUCUCAUGUUCGGGGUUUAAACUUAAGGAUGGGAUUACGAACCUGUAUCGAUCACACCCAUAAUGACAUCUUCACCAUACUUUGCUCUUUUGAGGAGCCCCGGUUGUUGUGGCGGUUGAUUAUAGUCAAGGCCAAGGAAAUCCCAGCUCCGAGUUGUGUGCGUUUUGUGAAAAAUAUUAGGCUUCACAGAGACAACUUCAGGAAAUUCUACAUUCAUAUAUGUUGAUUAGUUCAUUUCGAUCAUGCAAGUUGAUAUAAAGAUAGCAAGCUCAUGGCACCUCAGGACUGACAAUUAAUAAUCAUACUCCAAACAAAUAUGGUUGUGUAAAUUGCAAUGAUGAUGCAGAGGCCGGGGGGUUAACCCCGUCUUAUAAAAAAAGGGUUGACAAUUACUUACUUGCGAUUGCCACAGCUUGAGAUUUUGUUAGCAUAGCCGCGAACCCAGAAAAUCCAUGCUUGUAACUGUAAACUAUCGACCUCACGGCUUCAUCCUUGCUGUUUCAAGUAAUAAUAAAACAAAAGGGAGGUGAGCAAAUCACGACUGUUUCCUGCUAACACAUCUAUGAUGCGACAUGAAACUCAUAGCCAGUAGUACCUCCCAAAAACAGAUAUUAGCAUGUCAUGGUGCGACGCGAUGACCACGGACGGGUCAUCAUGUUUCUUCUCCCCCAUAUACACAAUGUAGAGCUGAAAUUUCAACAAGAAAAUGUUCUCAGUAAAAGAUUGGAAAGAAGAUAAGAUAAAUGCUGUGCGAAGAGGAAUCGAGCAUGGAUCUUACUUUGCUCGGCGCGCUGGCUGAAAGAGGCAGCAGCGUCACCAGCAGUAGCAGAGCGCCGCAGAAUGCUGUUCUGGAAUCCAUAUCUGGCUUCGAGAAGAGUGUUCCCUCGAUCGCUUCUCCCUGUGUGUAUAUAUAGCAGCCAGGAACAAGAACAAGCAUGGAGGCACAAGAACAGUUCAGACGAAUUUGUCUGCGAGCUGUUUCCUUCCCUUUUAAGGGAUUGUUUGUGUUGCUACUUGCUAGGUGACACACACGUCCGAAUGGAAGACCAUAUAUAGAUCCUUGUCUGUAUACAAAGCACCGUGCCUUUUCCAUCAGAGAAGAAGCACCGUGCUUUGAUCAGGUCCGCCAGGAUUAAACAGCUAACCGGAUAUAAAUAUUCUGGUGUCUGACGUAAUGACCUUUUUUUCGAAAAGGGGAUUCCCCGGCCUCUGCAUUAGAACGAUGCAUACGGCCAUGUUAAUAACCAAAUAAAGAAGUACCAACAUGAUUCCAAAGGUCUCCAAAAGUAAAAAAAAAAGUACAUAAAGCUCACACAGAGCCAAAUAAAGGCUAGAAACACCAACUAGCCAGGACAAGAUGCCACAACCGGCCGGCUCAAACUAGAUAGGGAAACUAAGUACCUAUCCUAUUACAUGACCGCCAUCCAAACCGGUUGAAGAUAUCCCGAGCUACCAUCUCCCAGCGGAAAGAUCCAGUAACCAAAUGCUCCCUGGCCUCCGUCUGGGUGAGUAGCGACCACGAACGGAUCAGUGCCGUAGUUCGGAAUAUGACCUGCAAAAAAUGUAUACAUGAUAUUCUGUUAAAGACCAAAUCAUUUCUGCAAGUCCAGAUAGUCCACAGCAAAGCACAAACUCCAACCCGAAUAUGUCUCGCUAAACCAGGCUCAAUCCCAUUAAGCCAAGUCCCAAAUAACGCAUUAACAGAAUUCGGUGGAUUGAUAUUAAAAGCAAUGUGGACUGUCUGCCAAAGUACCUUGGCCAACGGGCAAUCAAAAAAGAGGUGUUUGAUAGUCUCAUCCCGAUCGCAGAAACUACACCUAGUAGGUCUUGUUCAAUUACGCUUUUAUCAAGUUGUCCUUAGUUAAAAUAACUUGUUUAUGGACAAACCACAUAAACACUUUUAUUUUCAAAGGAACUUUGACAUCCCAAACAUGCUUAGACGUAGGAAUGGAGUCCGAAUUAAUAACAUCAAUAUACAUUGAUUUAACCGUGAAUACUCCAGACUUAGUCAAUUUCCAACGCAAUUCAUCGGGUUGUUGGGAAAGCUGGACAUCCGUCAGUCUCCUAACUAGACGGAGCCAUUCUUCCCAACGGUUGCCCGCUGGCGUUCGUCGGAACUGGAUAUUAAGGGGGGUAGACUGAAAGACCGAUGCGACGAAUACCUCACGUCGUUGAACAAUGCGGUACAAAGACGGAUAUUGGAUGGCCAGGGGUGUCCCGCCAAGCCAAGUAUCCUCCCAGAAACGUGUACUCGAGCCGUUUCCAAUCACAAACUUCGUCCUAUUAAAUAAGGCCUGUUUGACUUUCAUCAGGCCUUUUCAGAAAGGCGAAUCGGUCGGCCUGACUAUAACCUGGGACAGAGUUUUUGUCUGGAGGUACUUGCUGCGAAGGAUUUGAGCCCACAUAGCAUCAGUCUCCGAUGAGAGCUUCCACAGCCACUGUCUAAGAAGGCAUUUAUUCUUAACUUCUAGAUUCUCAAUACCUAGACCCCCUUGGUCUUUUGGUCUACAGAUGAUAUCCCAUUUAGCAAGCCGAUAUUUUUUUUAAGCUCAUCACCCUGCCAAAAGAAACGCGAUCGAUAGAAGUCCAGUCUCUUCCUAACACCAACUGGGACCUCAAAGAACGAUAGGAGAAACAUUGGCAUGCUCGUGAGCACUGAAUUAAUCAGGAUUAAUCGGCCUCCGUAUGAUAUGAGCUUACCCUUCCAGCAGCUCAGUUUUUUCUCAAAUCGGUCCUCAAUGCACUUCCACUCUCUGUUUGUCAGCCUACGAUGGUGGAUUGGAAUCCCCAGGUAGGAGAAGGGUAACUCUCCCAACUCGCACCCAAACAAUUGCCUAUAAGCAUCCUGUUCAUGUUUGGCCCUACCAAAACAGAACAGCUCGCUCUUAUGAAAGUUAAUCUUUAACCCGGUCAAUUGUUCGAAAAGGCAUAACACAAGCUUCAUAUUACUAGCCUUGGCCAAGUCAUGCUCCAUGAAGAUGAUUGUAUCAUCAGCGUACUGAAGGAUGGAUACACCUCCAUCAAUAAGAUGAGGUACCAAUCCACCUACUUGACCAUUUUCCUUAGCCCUUCCUAUCAAGAUUGCUAAGAUAUCCACCACAAUGUUAAACAAGAUAGGUGACAUCGGAUCUCCUUGUCUGAGGCCUUUAUGUGUCUGGAAGUAAUGACCUAUGUCAUCAUUAACUUUAAUUCCCACACUACCUUUUUGCGCAAAUGAUUCAACAUGUCGGCGCCAGGCCUCAUCAAAACCUUUCAUACACAAUGACUGUUGGAGGAAUGGCCAUUUGACCUUAUCAUACGCUUUCUCAAAAUCCACCUUAAAAAUUACACCAUCUAAUUUUUUGGAAUGGAUUUCAUGAAGUGUUUCAUGCAGGACGACCACCCCUUCAAGGAUAUUUCUGUCCAGCAUGAAAGCGGUUUGGGACUGUUGCACCACAGAAUACGCAAUCUGUGUGAGUCUGUUAGUCCCGACUGAAGGAAAUAUGCCCUAGAGGCAAUAAUAAAGAUAUUAUUUAUUUCCUUAUAUCACGAUAAAUGUUUAUUAUUCAUGCUAGAAUUGUAUUAACCGGAAACAUAAUACAUGUGUGAAUACAUAGACAAACAAAGUGUCACUAGUAUGCCUCUACUUGACUAGCUCGUUAAUCAAAGAUGGUUAUGUUUCCUAACCAUGGACAAAGAGUUGUCAUUUGAUUAACGGGAUCACAUCAUUAGUUGAAUGAUCUGAUUGACAUGACCCAUUCCACUAGCUUAGCACCCGAUCGUUUAGUAUGUUGCUAUUGCUUUCUUCAUGACUUAUACAUGUUCCUAUGACUAUGAGAUUAUGUAACUCCCAUGUGCCGGAGGAACACUUUGUGUGCUACCAAACGUCACAACGUAACUGGGUGAUUAUAAAGGUGCUCUACAGGUGUCUCCAAAGGUACAUGUUGGGUUGACGUAUUUCGAGAUUAGGAUUUGUCACUCCGAUUGUCGGAGAGGUAUCUCUGGGCCCUCUCGGUAAUGCACAUCACUUAAGCCUUGCAAGCAUUACAACUAAUGAGUUAGUUGCGGGAUGAUGCAUUAAGGAACGAGUAAAGAGACUUGCCGAUAACGAGAUUGAAGUAGGUAUUGGAUACCGACAAUUGAAUCUCGGGCAAGUAACAUACCGAUGACAAAGGGAACAACGUAUGUUGUUAUGCGGUCUGACCAAUAAAGAUCUUCGUAGAAUAUGUAGGAGCCAAUAUGGGCAUCCAGGUCCCGCUGUUGGUUAUUGUCCGAAGACGUGUCUCGGUCAUGUCUACAUUGUUCUCGAACCGUAGGGUCCGCACGCUUAAAGUUACGAUGACAGUUUCAUUAUGAGUUUAUGUAUUUUUAUGUACCGAAGGUUGUUCGGAGUUCCGGAUGUGAUCACGGACAUGACGAGGAGUCUCGAAAUGGUCGAGACAUAAAGAUUGAUAUAUUCGGACACCGGAAGUGUUUCGGGGAAGUUUCGGAUAAAACCGGAGAACCGGGGGGUUACCGGAACCCCCUGAGGGGUUAAUGGGCCUCAUGGGCCUAAAGUGGAGAAGAGGAAAGGCAGCCAGGGUAGGCCGCGCGCCCCCUCUCCCCCUAGUCCGAAUUGGACAAGGAGGGAGGGGUGGCGCCCCCCUUUCCUUCCUCUCCUCUCUCGCUUCCUUCCCCCUCUCCUCCUUGGACAAGGAAAGGGAGGGGAGUCCUACUCCCAGUAGGAGUAGGACUCCUCCUGCGCGCCUCCUACUAGGGUCGGCCGCACCCCCCCUUGGCUCCUUUAUAUACGGGGGCAAGGGGGCACCCUAGGACACAGAAGUUGAUCUUCGUGAUCGUUACUUAGCCGUGUGCGGUGCCACCCUCCACGAUAUUACACCUCGAUCGUAUUGUAGCGGUGCUUAGGCGAAGCCCUACGACGGUUAAACAUCAAGAUAGUCACUACGCCGUCGUGCUGACGAAACUCCUCCACCGAAGCUUUGCUGGAUCGGAGCCCCGGGUGCGUCAUCGAGCUGUACGUGUGUUAAGAACUCGGAGGUGCCGGAGUAACGGUGCUUGGAUCGGUUGGACCGGGAAGACGUACGACUACUUCCUCUACGUUGUGUCAACGCUUCCGCGUCGAUCUACAAGGGUACGUAGAUCACACUCUCCCCUCUCAUUGCUAUGCAUCACCAUGAUCUUGCGUGUGCGUAGGAAAUUUUUUGAAAUUACUACGUUACCCAACAGUGGCAUCCGAGCCUAGGUUUUAUGGUUUGAUGUUAUUUGCACGAGUAGAACACAAGUGAGUUGUGGGCGAUAUAAGUCAUACUGCCUACCAACAUGUCAUACUUUGGUUCGGUUGUAUUGUUGGAUGAAGCGGCCCGGACCGACAUUACGCGUACGCUUACGCGAGACUGGUUCUACCGCCGUGCUUUGCACACAGGUGGUUGGCGGGUGUCAGUUUCUCCAACUUUAGUUGAACCAAGUGUGGCUACGCCCGGUCCUUACGAAGGUUAAAACGGCAUCAACUUGACAAACUAUCGUUGUGGUUUUGAUGCGUAGGUAAGAUUGGUUCUUGCUUAAGCCCGUAGCAGCCACGUAAAACUUGCAACAAACAAAGUAGAGGACGUCUAACUUGUUUUUGCAGGGCAUGUUGUGAUGUGAUAUGGUCAAGACAUGAUGCUAAAUUUUAUUGUAUGAAAUGAUCAUGUUUUGUAACCGAGUUAUCGGCAACUGGCAGGAGCCAUAUGGUUGUCGCUUUAUUGUAUGCAAUGCAAUCGCGCUGUAAUGCUUAACUUUAUCACUAAGCGGUAGUGAUAGUCAUGGAAGCAUAAGAUUGGUGAGACGACAACGGUGCUACGAUGGAGAUCAAGGUGUCGCGCCGGUGACGAUGGUGAUCAUGACGAUGCUUCGGAGAUGGAGAUCACAGGCACAAGAUGAUGAUGGCCAUAUCAUAUCACUUAUAUUGAUUGCAUGUGAUGUUUAUCUUUUAUGCAUCUUAUCUUGCUUUGAUUGACGGUAGCAUUAUAAGAUGAUCUCUCACUAAAUUAUCAAGAAGUGUUCUCCCUGAGUAUGCACCGUUGCGAAAGUUCUUCGUGCUGAGACACCACGUGAUGAUCGGGUGUGAUAGGCUCUACGUUCAAAUACAACGGGUGCAAAACAGUUGCACACGCGGAAUACUCGGAUUAUACUUGACGAGCCAAGCAUAUACAGAUAUGGCCUCGGAACACGGAGACCGAAAGGUCGAGCGUGAAUCAUAUAGUAGAUAUGAUCAACAUAGUGAUGUUCACGAAUGAAACUAGUCCAUCUCAUGUGAUGAUCGGACAUGGUUUAGUUGAUUUGGAUCACGUGAUCACUUAGACGGACUGGGUCCGUAACUUGAGGAUUAUCCUCAUUGCUGCACAGAAGAAUUACGUCCUGGAAGCACCGCUAGAUGCCAGGCCUACUGCUGGAGCAACACCAGAUGUUAUGAACGUCUGGCAGAGCAAAGCUGAUGACUACUUGAUAGUUUAGUGUGCCAUGCUUUACGGCUUAGAAUCGGGACUUCAACGACGUUUUGAACGUCAUGGAGCAUAUGAGAUGUUCCAGGAAUUGAAGUUAAUAUUUCAAGCAAAUGCCCGAAUUGAGAGAUAUGAAGUCUCCAAUAAGUUCUGUAGCUGCAAGAUGGAGGAGAACAGUUCUGUCAGUGAGCAUAUACUCAAAAUGUCUGGGUAUAAUAAUCACUUGAUUCAGAUGGGAGUUAAUCUUCCAGAUGAUUGCGUCAUUGACAGAAUUCUCCAAUCACUGCCACCAAGCUACAAGAGCUUCGUGAUGAACUAUAAUAUGCAAGGGAUGAAUAAGACUAUUCCCGAGCUCUUCGCAAUGCUGAAAGCUGCGAAGGUAGAAAUCAAAAAGGAGCAUCAAGUGUUGAUGGUCAACAAGACCACUAGUUUCAAGAAAAAAGGCAAAGCGAAGAAGAAGGGGAACUUCAAGAAGAACAGCAAGCAAGUUGCUGCUCAAGAGAAGAAACCCAAGUCUGGACAUAAGCCUGAAACUGAGUGCUUCUACUGCAAGCAGACUGGUCACUGGAAGCGGAACUGCCCCAAGUAUUUGGCGGAUAAGAAGGAUGGCAAGGUGAACAAAGGUAUAUGUGAUAUACAAGUUAUUGAUGUGUACCUUACUAAUGCUCGCAGUAGCACCUGGGUAUUUGAUACUGGUUCUAUUGCUAAUAUUUGCAACUCGAAACAGGGACUACGGAUUAAGAGAAGAUUGGCUAAGGACGAGGUGACGAUGCGCGUGGGAAACGGUUCCAAAGUUGAUGUGAUCGCGGUCGGCACGCUACCUCUACAUCUACCUUCAGGAUUAGUAUUAGACCUGAAUAAUUGUUAUUUGGUGCCAGCGUUGAGCAUGAACAUUAUAUCUGGAUCUUGUUUAAUGCGAGACGGUUAUUCAUUUAAAUCAGAGAAUAAUGGUUGUUCUAUUUAUAUGAGUAAUAUCUUUUAUGGUCAUGCACCCUUGAAGAGUGGUCUAUUCUUAUUGAAUCUCGAUAGUAGUGACACACAUAUUCAUAAUGUUGAAGCCAAAAAAUGCAGAGUUGAUAAUGAUGGUGCAACUUAUUUGUGGCACUGCCGUUUAGGUCAUAUCGGUGUAAAGCGCAUGAAGAAACUCCAUACUGACGGACUUUUGGAACCACUUGAUUAUGAAUCACUUGGUACUUGCGAACCGUGCCUCAUGGGCAAGAUGACUAAAACACCGUUCUCCGGUACUAUGGAGAGAGCAACAGAUUUGUUGGAAAUCAUACAUACAGAUGUAUGUGGUCCGAUGAAUAUUGAGGCUCGUGGCGGAUAUCGUUAUUUUCUCACCUUCACAGAUGACUUAAGCAAAUAUGGGUAUGUCUACUUAAUGAAACAUAAGUCUAAAACAUUUGAAAAGUUCAAAGAAUUUCAGAGUGAAGUUGAAAAUCAUCGUAACAAGAAAAUAAAGUUUCUACGAUCUGAUCGUGGAGGAGAAUAUUUGAGUUAUGAGUUUGGUGUACAUUUGAAACAAUGCGGAAUAGUUUCGCAACUCACGCCACCCGGAACACCACAACGUAAUGGUGUGUCCGAACGUCGUAACCAUACUUUACUAGAUAUGGUGCGAUCUAUGAUGUCUCUUACUGAUUUACCGCUAUCGUUUUGGGGUUAUGCUUUAGAGACGGCCGCAUUCACGUUAUAUAGGGCACCAUCAAAAUCCGUUGAGACGACGCCUUAUGAACUAUGGUUUGGCAAGAAACCAAAGUUGUCGUUUCUGAAAGUUUGGGGCUGCGAUGCUUAUGUGAAAAAGCUUCAACCUGAUAAGCUCGAACCCAAAUCAGAGAAAUGUGUCUUCAUAGGAUAUCCAAAGGAAACUAUUGGAUACACCUUCUAUCACAGAUCCGAAGGCAAGACUUUUGUUGCUAAAUUGGGAAACUUUCUAGAGAAGGAGUUUCUCUCGAAAGAUGUGAGUGGGAGGAAAGUAGAACUUGAUGAGGUAACUGUACCUGCUCCCUUAUCGGAAAGUAGUACAUCACAGAAAACUAUUUCUGCGACACCUACACCAAUUAGUGAGGAAGCUAAUGAUAAUGAUCAUGAAACUUCAGGACAAGAUACUACUGAACCUCGUAGAUCAACCAGAGUGAGAUCCGCGCCAGAGUGGUACGGUAAUCCUGUUCUGGAAAUCACGCUGCUAGAUCAUGAUGAACCUACGAACUAUGAAGAAGCGAUGGUGAGCCCAGAUUCCGCAAAAUGGCUUGAAGCCAUGAAAUCCGAGAUGGGAUCCAUGUAUGAGAACAAAGUAUGGACUUUGGUUGACUUGCCCGAUGAUCGGCAAGCAAUUGAGAAUAAAUGGAUCUUCAAGAAGAAGACUGACGCUGACGGUAAUAUUACUGUCUACAAAGCUCGACUUGUCGCAAAAGGUUUUCGAUAAGUUCAAGGGGUUGACUACGAUGAGACCUUCUCACCCGUAGCGAUGCUUAAGUCUGUCCAAAUCAUGUUAGCAAUUGCCGCAUUUUAUGAUUAUGAGAUUUGGCAGAUGGAUGUCAAAACUGCAUUCCUGAAUGGAUUUCUGGAAAAAGAGUUGUAUAUGAUGCAACCGGAAGGUUUUGUCGAUCCAAAGGGAGCUAACAAAGUGUGCAAGCUCCAGCGAUCCAUUUAUGGACUGGUGCAAGCCUCUCGGAGUUGGAAUAAACGCUUUGAUAGUGUGAUCAAAGCAUUUGGUUUUAUACAGACUUUCGGAGAAGCCUGUAUUUACAAGAAAGUGAGUGGGAGCUCUGUAGCAUUUCUGAUAUUAUAUGUAGAUGACAUAUUACUGAUUGGAAAUGAUAUAGAAUUUCUGGAUAGCAUAAAGGGAUACUUGAAUAAGAGUUUUUCAAUGAAAGACCUCGGUGAAGCUGCUUACAUAUUAGGAAUAAAGAUCUAUAGAGAUAGAUCAAGACGCUUAAUUGGACUUUCACAAAGCACAUACCUUGACAAGAUUUUGAAGAAGUUCAAAAUGGAUCAAGCAAAGAAAGGGUUCUUGCCUGUGUUACAAGGUGUGAAGUCGAGUCAGACUCAAUGCCCGACCACUGCAGAAGAUAGAGAGAAAAUGAAAGAUGUUCCCUAUGCUUCAGCCAUAGGCUCUAUCAUGUAUGCAAUGCUGUGUACCAGACCUGAUGUGUGCCUUGCUAUAAGUUUAGCAGGGAGGUACCAAAGUAAUCCAGGAGUGGAUCACUGGACAGCGGUCAAGAACAUCCUGAAAUACCUGAAAAGGACUAAGGAUAUGUUUCUCGUAUAUGGAGGUGACAAAGAGCUCAUCGUAAACGGUUACGUUGAUGCAAGCUUUGACACUGAUCCGGACGAUUCUAAAUCGCAAACCGGAUACGUGUUUACAUUAAACGGUGGAGCUGUUAGUUGGUGCAGUUCUAAACAAAGCGUCGUGUCGAAAGCAGCAAACGAAGGAGUCUGGAUGAAGGAGUUCAUAUCCGAUAUAGGUGUCAUACCUAGUGCAUCGGGUCCAAUGAAAAUCUUUUGUGACAAUACUGGUGCAAUUGCCUUGGCAAAGGAAUCCAGAUUUCACAAAAGAACCAAGCACAUCAAGAGACGCUUCAAUUCCAUCCGGGAUCUAGUCCAGGUGGGAGACAUAGAGAUUUGCAAGAUACAUACGGAUCUGAAUGUGGCAGACCCGUUGACUAAGCCUCUUCCACGAGCAAAACAUGAUCAGCACCAAGGCUCCAUAGGUGUUAGAAUCAUUACUGUGUAAUCUAGAUUAUUGACUCUAGUGCAAGUGGGAGACUGAAGGAAAUAUGCCCUAGAGGCAAUAAUAAAGAUAUUAUUUAUUUCCUUAUAUCAUGAUAAAUGUUUAUUAUUCAUGCUAGAAUUGUAUUAACCGGAAAGAUAAUACAUGUGUGAACACAUAGACAAACAAAGUGUCACUAGUAUGCCUCUACUUGACUAGCUCGUUAAUCAAAGAUGGUUAUAUUUCCUAACCAUGGACAAAGAGUUGUCAUUUGAUUAACGGGAUCACAUCAUUAGUUGAAUGAUCUGAUUGACAUGACCCAUUCCACUAGCUUAGCACCCGAUCGUUUAGUAUGUUGCUAUUGCUUUCUUCAUGACUUAUACAUGUUCCUAUGACUAUGAGAUUAUGUAACUCCCGUGUGCCGGAGGAACACUUUGUGUGCUACCAAACGUCACAACGUAACUGGGUGAUUAUAAAGGUGCUCUACAGGUGUCUCCAAAGGUACAUGUUGGGUUGACGUAUUUCGAGAUUAGGAUUUGUCACUCCGAUCGUCGGAGAGGUAUCUCUAGGCCCUCUCGGUAAUGCACAUCACUUAAGCCUUGCAAGCAUUGCAACUAAUGAGUUAGUUGCGGGAUGAUGCAUUAAGGAACGAGUAAAGAGACUUGCCAGUAACGAGAUUGAACUAGGUAUUGGAUACCGACAAUCGAAUCUCGGGCAAGUAACAUACCGAUGACAAAGGGAACAACGUAUGUUGUUAUGCGGUCUGACCAAUAAAGAUCUUCGUAGAAUAUGUAGGAGCCAAUAUGGGCAUCCAGGUCCCGCUGUUGGUUAUUGACCGGAGACGUGUCUCGGUCAUGUCUACAUUGUUCUCGAACCGUAGGGUCCGCACGCUUAAAGUUACGAUGACAGUUUCAUUAUGAGUUUAUGCAUUUUGAUGUACCGAAGGUUGUUCGGAGUCCCGGAUGUGAUCACGGACAUGACGAGGAGUCUCGAAAUGGUCGAGACAUAAAGAUUGAUAUAUUCGGACACCAGAAGUGUUUCGGGGAAGUUUCGGAUAAAACCGGAGAACCGGGGGGUUACCGGAACCCCCCGGGGGUUAAUGGGCCUCAUGGGCCUAAAGUGGAGAAGAGGAAAGGCAGCCAGGGCAGGCCGCGCGCCCCCUCUCCCCCUAGUCCGAAUUGGACAAGGAGGGAGGGGCGGCGCCCCCCUUUCCUUCCUCUCCUCUCUCCCUUCCUUCCCCCUCUCCUACUUGGACAAGGAAAGGGAGGGGAGUCCUACUCCGAGUAGGAGUAGGACUCCUCCUGCGCGCCUCCUACUAGGGCCGGCCGCACCCCCCCCUUGGCUCCUUUAUAUACGGGGGCAAGGGGGCACCCUAGGACACAGAAGUUGAUCUUCGUGAUCGUUACUUAGCCGUGUGCGGUGCCCCCCUCCACGAUAUUACACCUCGAUCGUAUUGUAGCGGUGCUUAGGCGAAGCCCUACGACGGUUAAACAUCAAGAUAGUCACCACGCCGUCGUGCUGACGAAACUUCUCCACCGAAGCUUUGCUGGAUCGGAGCCCCGGGUGCGUCAUCGAGCUGUACGUGUGUCAAGAACUUGGAGGUGCCGGAGUAACGGUGCUUGGAUCGGUUGGACCGGGAAGACGUACGACUACUUCCUCUACGUUGCGUCAACGCUUCCGCGUCGAUCUACAAGGGUACGUAGAUCACACUCUCCCCUCUCGUUGCUAUGCAUCACCAUGAUCUUGCAUGUGCGUAGGAAUUUUUGUUAAAUUACUACAUUACCCAACACCGACCUUGGUGAAAAUUUUGAAACUAACAUUGAGGAGACAGAUCGGCCUGAAUUGCUCAAUUCUCACAGCAUCCGUCUUUUUAGGAAGCAGUGUGAUAGUCCCAAAAUUCAAGUGAAAUAAUUGAAGCUGUCCGAAAAACAGAUCAUGGAACAUAGGUGGUAAAUCCCCCUUAAUAAUGUGCCAGCACUUUUUAUAGAACUCUGCCGGGAAUCCAUCGGUCCGGGAGCCUUGUUGUUUUUCAUCUGUGCAAUACCAUCAAAAACCUCCUUCUCCGAAAACAGGGCAACCAGAAUAUCAUUAUCAGCAGCUGAUAGCUGAGGUACGUUCUCAGUCCUGGACUCAUCGAGGGACACACAAUUAUCCUCCGGAGGUCCAAAUAACUGCUUAUAAUAGUCGGUAAUAUAUGUUUUUAGGUUAUCCUGACCUAAAAUAGUGCCCUCGUCUUGCUCAAGCUGAAAGAUACGCUUCUUUUUGUGCUUGCCAUUAGCUAUCAAAUGGAAGAACUGAGUGUUCGCAUCCCCUUGGACCACUUUGCGGACUUUGGCACGCAAAGCCCACUUCAAUUCUUGUUCGCGAAACAGUUCUUUCAGCCUCUUCUCCGCCUCAUUUCUAGCCUGAAGCUGAGCUGGCGACAAGAUAUUGACUUCGGCCUAUAUGUCCAGGGCCUGUAUAAGAGUAAGGAGUCUAUCCUUUUCAAUCUUAUACACACCACUGAGGUUCUUAGCCCAACCCCGUAAGAAACUUCUUAAAUGCCUAAUCUUAUUCUGCCAACGCUCUAUCGCAUUCUUGCCUCCUACACCUCUAUCCCAUUCCCUGGCGAUCAAGUCCAAGAACCCCUCACAUUCAAACCAACACAUCUCGAAGGAGAAGGUAUUCUUGUUACCCUCAUGGUUCGGCUCCCCUGAGUCCACGAACAAUGGGGUGUGAUCAGAUAUUCCCCUCGAAAGAGCUUGCACCGUAACCAUAGGGAACUUUUGUUCCCACUCCACGCUCGCAAGUACUCGAUCAAGUUUUUCAUAGGUUGGGUUUGGUAGAGCAUUAGCCCAGGUGAACUUUCUCCCAGAAAGCUCUAUCUCUCUCAGAUCCAAGCUUUCAAUAAUGGUGUUGAACAUAAACGACCAUCUGCCAUCAAAGUUAUCAUUGUUCUUCUCCUCUCUCCUCCUGAUGAUAUUGAAAUCACCUCCAACUAAAAUUGGAAGCUGUUCUGACCCACAGAUUCGAACAAGGUACGCCAGAAACUCCGCUUUAAGUUCAGGCUGUGAGGCACCAUAAACCGCCACCAAAGCCCAGUUAAAACCAUCUACCCUAGACCUGACUCGAAACUUGACCACGAAGUCUCCCAUCACGACACUUCGGACUUCAAGCGAAUCGCAUCUCACACCUAGUAAGAUACCACCCGAUCUUCCUCGCGAAGGGAGGCAAUGCCAAUCGAAAUCAAUACCACCCACAAGAGAAGAGAGAAACUGGGGCGCAAAGUUUUCUCUACCCGUCUCUGAUAGAGCAACAAAAUCUAACCUCUGCUCUAGAGCUGCCUCAGCUAGGAAUCUUCUUUUAGCCAAGUCCUUCAGACCUCUGCUAUUCCAAAAAAUUCCACUCAUAGUUCAUCAUGGAAUUUUUUACUAACUCGAAUCCUAGCACUCCUAUGAACUACGGAAUCUGGAUAGAUCUUCCGUUUCCACUUACGCUUAGGUUUACUAGGCUCAGUCACCCGGUCCUCAUAACCGGGUUCACAUAUAUUGCUAGCCUCAUUCUCUAGGGGUACAUCAUCUUCCUCAGAGUCAUGAUUGGGGCGUGCUAGAUCCGCACACAGAUUAUCGAGCACUCUAACCCCUAACGCAUCAAUCUCAUCAUCAUUCAUGACGUAAUGACCUGAUCAUCGUCUUUCAAACAAUUUUCCGCGAUAAGUUGGGCAUGAAACAGGAUGGGCCGCUUUGAUGCCAGGACAAUCAUUUUAGGUUUUUUAGGCUUAUGCCCUUGGUUGGUUCCCACUACUCUUAGAUUUCGGACCUACACAGUUUUACCCUUGUUUCAAUAUAAAACCAUUUUUUAUUUUCGAUUUGAACUCAAUUUCAUCAAUUCUGAAGUUGCUACCCACGUGUGUGAUGUGGUCUGUUAGACCAUUGCUUAGGGCAUCUCCAAUGCAGACUCCUACUCCGGCCUCAAAUGUCUGGAACGGAUGGUUCAGACACUUUAGGCCUCCAAUGUGGACUCCUACUUUGGGCCGGACACGUCCAAAAUCACUCAGUCCGUCCACAAAUCGAGAGGCGGGGUUGGGGAGUCUAGGCGUCAUCAUGCCCCAUUACUACAUCUUCACCCAGCAACCACCUCCUUGACCCCUCCUUUUUUUCCAGACGUCCCCCCUCCCCCUCCACUCUCUGUCCCCGUUCCUGGAGGCCAACGCCAACGCCACCACCCCCACCCCACCCCCAUGCCACCUGGUCCUUGCCGUUGCAAUCAUUCGAGCAGAAGGAAUCGCUCCAUAAGGCCAUAAAUCACCUAAGUUGCGGUUGUCUUCCUCGCCUCCGGUCGAGCAUCGCCAUGGUUAGGUCCCAGCGCCCCUCUGUCCAUCUUAGCAAUCCCCAGGAGCUUCCAAAGACGGUGCUGCAAAAUAAUGUAUACAAACUAUAUAACUUGGCUACGAACAAUAGGCCAUCCCUCCAUUUGUCUCCUAUAAGCAGUUCCAACAAUGUAUUAAUGGUGACAGCAGGGUUACAAAUUUGUAAUUCCUCUCGAAUAGCCUCCUACAUCCGAUCGCUGGAGCGAAGGAAUGUUCAUGGGCUUAUUCUAUUCAGCCUCAGCGCUUCUGAACAGUGGCAACACCAACGAGCAUAAGCUAAACUAUAUGUAGCUCAUAACUUCAGGUAGUAGUUGAUAGCAAAAGAAUUUUCCAGGCAAUAACUGAGAUUGCACUGUAUUUUCUUCCGAUCCCAAAUAGAGGUAUGUCGAGAGAUUACUGCAUCUCUUUUGUUCUCUUGUCGAGGCCAGCAUAUCCUUUUUCUGAAACUAAUUCUAGCAUAUCUCCUGGGAAACUGCAGCAGUGAACACACACUGUAAGAAAUCUCUUCUAAACAUUUCCGUUUGAUGUGUAUGACCAGUACUCGUUGACCAGCUCACGGAAGAGAGAUCCCUCAGUUUCCAUGAGCUUCAUGGGCUUGUCAUACUCCACUACUUUCCCUGGAAAUGUAUGCAGAUCAGUAGUAUGGAAUACUAUGCUGCGGAACCAAUAAGUUGCAGAAUUAGUAAGUUGGCAAUAAGAGAAACCAAUAGGUUGCGGAACCAAUAAGUUGUCAUACUCCGCUAGUUUCCCACAUUAGUAUGGAAUACUAUGUUGAAGAACCAAUAAGUUGGCAAUAAGAGGAACAUACAUACCAUCACUUAUUGCAAGUACCAUGUCACAGCCCAUAACUGUUGGUAUACGGUGUGCGACAGUAAUAACGGUGCAAUGUUUGGAUUCUGACUGGAUCGUUUUCUGAAGGACGGCAUCAGUUGCAUUAUCUAUAGAGGCCGUGGCUUCAUCAAGAACUAAGAUCCUGCACCUUUUCAAAAGUGUGCGGCCCAAGAAAAAGAGCUUCCUAUGGCUCAUGCUCCAGUUUGACCCGUCUUCCGCAACUGUAUGGAAAGAUAUAGAUCAGUACUAUGAAGAACACAAUUCCAGACAUCAUGCAAGCAAACUGAUCCGACUCAUACGCCUAGUACUACAAGCAGUUUGACAGAUUUAUUGGCGCAUGUAUUCUAAUUGGUUAGGGGCAUAAAAUCAAAAGACUGAAGCAGAAUUGUAAUAUGCUAUCCUAUUUUGUUAGGGGCAUAAAAUGAAAUCCAGAAAUCAAAUCAUAGGUACAGUGAGGUUUCCUACCAAGUGAAUCCAAUCCCUGUUCCUUCUCCCGGACAGCUUCAAGAAGUUGGCAUUUGUCAAGAACCUGCAAUGUCAGCCAACGGGAAUUGUGAAACGUAAAAAGUAGACAAACUUUACCUCCUGGGUGAAAAUAGCAGCAUAUCAUUUGGUGAAUGAAAUAACCAAAGAAAGGGGGUUUAGGAGUUUAGCCAUACAGAAAAAGGCCACAAGAUUACCUGUAACCGAAUUGCCAAAACUAUCAUUGGCAAUGGUACAAACAGAACUUUCCAUGUAACAACAGCCAAUACCCCCAUAUUGCUAUAUGCAUUUAAGCUGGAACUAAAGCCAAACAUCAAUGCAAAUGGAACAUCAAGGUCAAUGAUGCUUAAAUCUGAAGAGACCUGCAGGUUGGGGGGAGGGUUGAUCUAUUAAUAUAAAACCUUGUAACGUUAAACUGAAUUGUAGUUCAUAUAGUUGUGUUUGUUUGAGAAUUUUUACCCGGCUAAGAACCAUGCCUAGAGGAGUAGAAUCAAAGACGGACAUUGGUGCACGGAACAAUGAAUUAAGUAGCUGGGAAAAUAAGGAUCUUGAAGUCUGCAUCCCAAGAACAACGAGGAAUAUAGAUCUUGAUAGCACAAAGAACACCGUGCAAACUCCAAUAACAAUGUACACAGAAAUUAACUUUAGUGCACUAACAUCAGGAUUUUGGACAUUAGCGGCCAUCCAUGAAUUCUGUGAUAUUUGCCCAGCUAUGAAAAUUAUGUGAGACAUGACAGAAAGGGAGGCAUACAGGAAGCCUUUUUUCUGGCGCAGGUAUAGGAUAUAAGGCUUAAGACCUGCGUCCCCUGAUUCUCUUUCCUCUGUUUUGAUCAGUUGAUCUACUGGUGAUGGCUUCACAGACUCUAUAUAUCUGUUUCCAUGAAUACCAUCUGUCUCCUUUAUUGGCAAAUCCUUUGCUCUGUGAUGGGCCAUAUUGUUAAGAUCUGAAACACCAGUAGUAUCUUUAUGGUCAUUUACAAGAUAUUUAAAUUCUUGGCAAUCUAACAAUAAAUCAUGAUAAGACGCAGAUCGAAUAACCACCCCAUCUGACAUUAACUGCCAAAAAUUAUCACUAGUUUUAGACGAAAUCGACAAAUAUAAAUACGUGCAUGCUACGGGAAUCACAAACUUUAGAACAAGUAUUUCUCAAAUUCACAACUACUCAACUAGCAUGACUCCAAUAUCACCAUCUUCAUAUCUCAAAACAAUCAUCAAGUAUCAAAUUUCUCAUAGUAUUCAAUGCACUUUUUAUGAUAGUUUUUAUUAUAACUAUCUUGGAUGCCUAUCAUAUUAGGAAUAAUUUUAUAGCCAAAGCAAAUUACCAUGCAGUUCUAAAAGACUCUCAAAAUGAUAUAAGUCAAGCAUGAGAGAUCAAUAAUUUCUAUAAAAUAAAACCACCACCGUGUUCUUAAAGAUAUAAGUGAAGCACUAGAGCAAAAUUAUCUAGCUCAAAAGAUAAAAGUGAAGCACAUAGAGUAUUCUAAUAAAUUCUGAUUUAUGUGUGUCUCUCCAAAAGGUGUGUACAGCAAGGAUGAUUGUGGUAAACUAAAAAGCAAAGACUCAAAUCAUACAAGACGCUCCAAGCAAAACACAUAUCAUGUGGUUAAUAAAAAUAUAGCCUCAAGUAAAGUUACCGAUAGACGAAGACGAAAGAGGGGAUGCCUUCCAGGGCAUCUCCAAGCUUAGGCUUUUGGUUUUCCUUGAAUUUUACCUUGGGUGCAUUGGGAAUCCCCAAGCUUAGGCUCUUGCCACUCCUUGUUUCAAAAUCCAUCAAAUCUUUAUCCAAAACUUGAAAACUUCACAACACAAAACUCAACAGAAAAUCUCAUGAGCUCUGUUAGUAUAGGAAAACAAACCACCACUUCAAGGUACUAUAAUGAACUCAUUCUUUAUUUAUAUUGGUGUUAAACCUACUGUAUUCCAACUUCUCUAUGGUUCAUACCCCCCGAUACUAGCCAUAGAUUCAUCAAAAUAAGCAAACAACACACAAAAAACAGAAUCUGUCAAAAACAGGACAGUGUGUAGUAAUCUGUAGGUUUCGAAUACUUCUGUAACCCCAAAUAUUCUGAAAUAAAUUGGUGGACGUGAGGAAUUUGUCUAUUAAUCAUCUGCAAAAAGAAUCAACGUAAUCGCACUGUCCAAUAAAAAUCGCAGCAAAUCUCGUGAGCGCUAAAGUUUCUGUUUUUUACAGCAAGAUCGCAAAAACUUCCCCCAGGUCUUCCCAAAGGUUCUACUUGGCACAAACACUAAUUAAAAGCAUAAAACCACAUCUAAAUAGAAGCUAGAUGAAUUAUUUAUUACUAAACAGAAUCAAAAAGCAAGAAACAAAAAUAAAAUUGGGUUGCCUCCCAACAAGCGCUAUCGUUUAACGCCCCUAGCUAGGCAUAAAAACAAGAAUAGAUCUAGGUAUUGUUAUCUUUGGUAUGCAAUCCAUAAGUGACUCUCAUAAUAGAUUCAUAAGGUAAUUUAAUUUUCUUUCUAGGAAACUGUUCCAUGCCUUUCCUUAACGGAAAUUGGAAUCUAAUGUUUCCUUCUUUCAUAUCAAUAAUUGCACCAAUCAUUCUAAGAAAAGGUCUACCAAGAAUAAUAGGACAUGUAGGAUUGCAAUCUAUAUCAAGAGCAAUGAAAUUUACGGGCACAUAAUUCCUAUUUGCAACAAUAAGAACAUCAUUAAUCCUUCCCAUAGGUUUCUUAAUAGUGGAAUCCGCAAGGUGCAAAUUUAAAGAACAAUCAUCAAAUUCACGGAAACCUAACACAUCACACAAAGUUUUUGGAAUCGUGGAAACACUAGCACCUAAAUCACAUAAAGCAUAUCAUUCAGGAUCUUUAAUUUUAAUUUUAAUAGUAGGUUACCACUCAUCAUAAAGUUUUCUAGGGAUAAAAACUUCUAAUUCAAGCUUUUCUUCAUAAGAUUUCAUUAAAGCAUCAACGAUAUGUUUGGUAAAAGCUUUAUUUUGAUCAUAAGCAUGAGGAGAAUUUCACACGGAUUGCAACAAGGAAAUACAAUCUAUCAAAGAGGAAUUAUCAUAAUUAAAUUCCUUGAUCCAAAAUAGUGGGUUCAUUGAUAUGUAAAGUUUUGACCUCUUUAAUCCCACUUUUACCAAAUUUUGCAUCAAGAUCUAAAAACUCUAAAUCAUUGGGACGCCUUUUAGCUAAAGUUGACUCAUCUCCAGUCCCAUCAUUAUCAAGAUUCAUAUUGCAAAACAAAGAUUUAAUAGGAGACACAUCAAUCACUUUUAGAUCUUCAUCCUUAUUAUCAUGAAAACAAGAAGAACACACUUUUAUAAGGCAAUCCUUUUUAGCACGCAUCCUAGCGGUUCUUUCUUUGCACUCAUCAAUGGAAAUUCUUAUGGCUUUGAGAGACUCAUUGAUAUCAUGUUUAGGUGGAAUAGAUCUAAGUUUCAAAGAAUCAACAUCAAGAGAAAUUAUAUCCACGUUCCUAGCCAACUCAUCAAUCUUAGGCAAUUUUUCUUCAAGAAAAGCAUUGAAAUUCUUUUGCGAAAUCAUAAAUUCUUUAACACUAGUCUCAAAAUCAGAGGGCAUCUUAUUAAAAUUUCCAUAAGAGUUGUUGUAGGAAUUACCAUAAUUAUUAGAGGAAUUACUAGGAAACGGCCUAGGAUUAAAGUUUCCUCUAUAAGCAUUGUUACCAAAAUUGUUCCUACCAACAAAAUUCACAUCCAUAGAUUCAUUAUUAUUCUCAAUCAAAGUAGACAAAGGCAUAUCAUUAGGAUCAGAAGAAACACUCUUAUUAGCAAAUAAUUUCAUAAGUUCAUCCAUCUUUCCACUCAAAACAUUAAUUUCUUCUAUAGCAUGAACCUUUUUAGUAGUAGAUCUUUUGGUGUGCCAUUGAGAAUAAUUAACCAUAAUAUUAUCUAGGAGUUUGGUAGCUUAUACUAAAGUGAUUUCCAUAAAAGUGCCUCCUGCGGCCGAAUCUAAAAGAUUUCUAGAAGCAAAAUUCAAUCCGGCAUAAAAAAAUUGUAUGAUCUUCCAUAUAUUUAAUCCAUGAGUAGGGCAAUUACGUACGAUUAAUUUCAUCCUCUCCCAAGAUUGUGCAACAUGCUCAUGAUCAAGUUGCUUAAAAUUCAUGAUAUCGUUUCUAAGAGAGAUGAUCUUAGCGGGAGGAAAAUACUUAGAGAUAAAAGCAUCUUUACACUUAUUCCAUGAAUAAUUACUAUUUUUAGGAAAAGACGAAAACCAAGUUUUAGCAUGAUCUCUAAGCGAAAACAGAAAUAGCUUCAAUUUAACAAUAUCAUUAUCCAUAUAUUUCUUCUUUUGCAUAUCACAUAAAUCAACAAAGCUGUUUAUAUGGGUAGCGGCAUCUUCACUAGGAAGACUAGAAAACGGAUCUUUCAUGACAAGAUUCAGCAAAACAGUAUUAAUUUCACAAGAUUCAACAUCGGUAAGAGGAGCAAUCGGAGUGCUAAUAAAAUUAUUAUUGUUGGUAUUGGAGAAGUCACACAAUUUAGUAUCAUCUUGAGCCAUCAUGACAAACAAUCAAUCCAACACACAAGCAAACAAGAGGCAAACAAAAAGAGACGAACUGAAAAGAGGGCGAAUAAAACGGUAAGGGUGAAGUGGGGGAGAGGAAAAUGAGAGACAAAUGGCAAGUAAUGUAAUGCGAGGGAUAAGAGUUUGUGAUGGGUACUUGAUAUGUCUUGACUUGUGCAUAGAUCUCCCCGACAACGGUGCCAGAAAUGGCUUGUUGCGAGAGAUCAAAUCUUGACUUGACUUGGUGCAACCUCCCCGGCAACGGCGCCAGAAAUCCUUCUUGCUACCUCUUGAGCUUGCGUUAGUUUUCCCUUGAAGAGGAAAGAGUGAUGCAGCAUAGUAGCGUAAGUAUUUCCCUCAGUUUUUGAGAACCAAGGUAUCAAUCCAGUAGGAAAUUAUACGCAAGUCGCCUAGUACCUGCACAAACAAACAAGAACCUCGCAACCAACGCGAUAAAGUGGUUUUCAAUCCCUUCACGGCCACUUACGAAAGUGAGAUCUGAUAAAAAUAAUAAGAUCAAUAUUUUUGGUAUUUUUGUUGUAUAGAUUGGAAAAUAAAGAUCGCAAAAUAGAAAUAGCAAGUUGAUAGGAAAAUAAUAUGAUGGAAGAUAGACCCGGGGCCAUAGGUUUCACUAGUGGCUUCUCUCAAGAUAGCAAAUUCUAUGGUGGGUGAACAAAUUACUGCCGAGAAAUUGAUAGAAAAGCGCAUAGUUAUGAGAAUAUCUAGGCAUGAUCAUGUAUAUAGGCAUCACGUUCGCGACAAGUAGACCAAAACGAUUCUACAUCUACUACUAUUACUCCACACAUCAACCGCUAUCCAGCAUGCAUCUAGAGUAUUAAGUUAAUAAGAACAUAGUAACGCAUUAGGCAAGAUGACAUGAUGUAGAGGGAUAAACUCAAGCAAUAUGAUAUAAACCCCAUCUUUUUAUCCUCGAUGGCAACAAUACAAUACAUGCCUUGCUGCCCCUGCUGUCACUGGGAAAGGACACCACAAGAUUGAACCCAAAGCUAAGCACUUCUUCCAUGGUAAGAAAUAUCAAUCUAGUUGGCCAAACCAAACUGAUAAUUCGAAGAGACUUGCAAAGAUAUUGUUCAUAGAUAAUCUAGAUCAUAAACCCACAAUUCAUCGGAUCUCGACAAACACACCGCAAAAAGAAUUACAUCGAAUAGAUCUCCAAGAGAAUCGAGGAGAACUUUGUAUUGAGAUCCAAAGAGAGAGAAGAAGCCAUCUAGCUAAUAACUAUGGACCCGAAGGUCUGUGGUAAACUAUUCACACAUCAUCGGAGAGGCUAUGGUGUUGAUGUAGAAGCCCUCCGUGAUUGAUUCCCCCUCCGACAGAGCGCCCAAAAAGGCCCCAAGAUGGGAUCUCACGGGUACAGAAGGUUGUCACGGUGAAAAUAGGGUUUCGUGGUGCUCCUGAAUAUUUUUGGGGUAUAUAGGUAUAUAUAGGAGGUAGAAGUACGUCGGUGGAGCUGCGAGGGGCCCACGAGGGUGGGAGGCACGCCUACCCCCCUGGGCGCGCCCUCCUGCCUCGUGGCCUCCUCGCUUCUUUCUUGAUGUCCACUCCAAGUAUCCUGGAUCACAUUUGUUCCAAAAAUAACUCUUCUGAACGUUUCAUUCCGUUUGGAUUCCGUUUGAUAUUCCUUUUCUGCUAAACAUUGAAAUAGGCAAAAAACAGCAAUUUGCACUGGGCCUUUGGUUAAUAGGUUAUUCCAAAAAUAAUAUAAAAAGAUAUAUUAAGGCCCAUUAAACAUCUGAAACAGAUAAUAUAAUAGCAUGGAACAAACAAAAAUUAUAGAUACGUUGGAGACGUAUCAAGGAGCAAGUCGGCAACACACGAACUCCACUCCAAGUCUCCAACGCCUCUAUACUGUUGUAGAAGGAAGAAUAUAGAUUAAUCACUAGCUAGAUUAGAUUGAGGACAAAGAAAAGAGAAAUUUAUCUAGAUGUACUUACCUUCCUUUCCUGCAAGCAUCCGGCGGCCCGAUCUGCGAGGUGAGCGAGAAAACGAACCGGCGUGGAGACUGAUGAGGAAUCGCCGCCUCACCGCUGUGCAUGCGUACCUUCUUCGGGCCUCUUGGCAAUUGGGCUUUUGUUGGAAGUUGGAUGAUGGGCCUCUCAGCCUACAGACUUUUCUUUUUUAUUUUCAUUCACGAAUUCAUCAGGGCCUAUAUCAUCUACUACCUGAAAUCUAAAACGUGUGCGCGCGCUAGUUGGAGAAAUCAAGUGACCGCUCUAUCGCAUGCAUGUGUAUAUGUUUUGUCUGCUAGUGCAUGUGAUUGCUGGCAUUAAAUGCGGUCAGACUUGUCACAUGUGAAGAAAAAAUAGAUCCACGCAUAUUUAUUUCUGUUUUCAAAUUUUUAAAAAGUCAUGUCUUUCAAACCACGCACCGAAUUCAGAUCCAUCUUCACCAUUGGAUUCCUCAUGACGAGAUCUUUCAAACUAGAUCCUGCAUGGGUAUGUUUCGACGAAAUGUUUUUAUGCCAACUUUGAUGCUAUAUGGUGCAACUUUAGUACUGUAUUGUGCAACUUUAGUGCAACAUCGUGCAACUUUUUCGGAAACCAAUUUUUAGAUCUGCAUGAUUCAACUUCCUAUGAGAUUGCUAUGUAGCAACUAUGACAACAUUGAUGUGCAACUAGUCUACCGUCUCGACCAAUUACCUAGUAGUCGAUGUGCAACCCUCCUCUCUACAUGUGGAUGUGUAGUUCGUUUACUGUUGGCACACCCUACCCCCUACCCUUGCAAGCAAUAUGUGCAACUUAGUCUAUUAUUCAAUCCAAAUGUCUAUUAGUCAUUGUGCAACUCCUUCCCCUCCCUAUUUGUGGACAUGUACUUUCAGUUGGCGGGGGCAACAAACAGAGUUGCACAUAGUCUGCUAGGUGGUUGGCCAGGGAAACAUACGAAGUUGCACAUCUCAUAGGCAGAGAUAGUCGAAUGGUGAAAAAUUGACAUUCAUGAGGGUAAUGAAAAGUUGCAUAUAAACAGAGUGCUAAAGUUAUAAAUCUCACUAGCAGGGGUGGUUUGGGCCGGGUGAUAGUAGGGAAACUACACAUCCAUGGGGGUAUGAGAGAAAGUGCACAUCACUGUUAGAUAGUUGGCCGUUGCAGUAUUCGAAGUUUCACAUCCACUGUUAGUAUGUUGGCCGAUGCAGCAAACAGUGAAGCACAUCCACGGGCGGGGGAAAGUUGCACAUCAACUACUAUGAAGUUGGCCUGGGCAACAUACGAAGUUGCACAUCUCACUGGAAGGAGGCAGUUUGGGGCUGGAGGUACCAUAAAGGAAAAUUGCAUGUCUACAGUGUAGGAGAAAAGUUGCACAUCUCUAAGGUAGUUGCACAUCGACGACUAGCCAGUUACACAAAACAUGGACAAAAUUACACAAAAAAAUUCCGUCGAAACAUACCCAUGCUGGAUCUAGUUUUGAAGAGCACGCCGUGAGGGUUCCAACAGUGAAAACGGAUCUUAAUUUCGAUGCGCUGCUCGAAAGUUAUGGUUUUUUAAAAUUUAAAAACACAAAUUAAAUGGGUUCACAUAUAUUCACGUGAAUACAUUGCAAUUAUUUAUCUUGUUCACACAUGUCCAUACCUGUUCACUUUGCCUAAUAUGGAUUAGGGAGAGAAAAUAUUUCAUUUUUUGGCCGGCCACCGCGGAGCGCUAGCGGGCCAACGGCCACCUGCUAGACCAGUCCCAUCUACUAUACACACACUGCAGCACGGGUCGGGGCCCCUAGUUUGGCUAGGCCCGGGUCGUCGCCCCUGCUGCCCUGGCCCAGGGCCGGCCCUGACCGGAAGUUUCAACUUUCUUUCUGGAAAAAGGUGGCCCGCAAAUCGACACGCCUGACCUUAUCAUACCGUUGUCACACUGGGCUUAGCGACCUCGCCUUGAUUGCUAAAUUUGAUCUGCUGGGGCCCGAUGGGUUGUUUUCAGGGCAGUCGUGUCGAACUUGGGCAGUUGUUAAUUUGUGAGCCAAAUCCUAACUGAUACGAGCAGUUUUUAAUGUGUGAAGCACAAUUCAACUGCUGAUGAGGCAGAGUGUUUUUGUGGGUUCUGGCAUGUCUUUUUUCUUUUCUUUCACAAGCAUGCCAAUUUGUACAUUCUUUUCUUUAUGAGAAGACAAUGCUCAUGCCAGUUGCGGGAAAAAACUUUCAAUACUCCCAAAUUGCUAUAUGCGUUUAUGCUGCCACUGAAGGUAAGCAUGAAGGCAAAUGGAACAUAAAUGUCAAUAAUACUCAAAUCAGAAGAGACCUCAGGGGACGGGGGUGAUUGUGGUGGAUAAUCCAUCAGUAGAAAAUGAGUGUGAAACAUAAAUGUAUUAUCAUAAUUGUCAUGUGUUUAUUUAUUUUUACCUGGCUAAGAACCAUGUCUAGAGGAGUAGAAUCAAAGGACAUGGGUGUUUGGGACAAUGGAAUGAGCAACUGCAAAAAUAAGGAUCUUCAAGUCUAGAUGCCAAUACCGAUCAAUAAUGAUCACGAUAGUACAAAGAAAAUUGUGCAAAAUCUGAUAAUAAUAUAAACAUAAGUUAAUUUCAGUGUACUACACGAGCAUUUUAGACAUUGGCAGCCAUCUAUGAAUUCAGUGAUAUUUUCCCAGCAAAGAAAUUUCGGUUGUGUUGAUUUCUUUUCACUUUCAGUUCAACAAAGUUUUCAUCAAGAAAGAAAGGUUUGUGAGCUUUACAUCCAUGGUUGUCCCUUACUCUAGUUCAUGUCAAUGAUAUAUAUGAUCCGAUAUUUCUUAUAAACUGCAAUUUUUGAACAAGUUUGUGAAGAAACCAAACUUUUGCGAAGAAGAAUCAUACUAUUUCUAUUUAACAUUUCUUUAUGAUGUAUAAAUUGGAUACGGUGUGUUUCUCCUACAUUUUUGUAUGCGGCCUACAUGAAUACACAAAGAAGGUUUACAAUAACAAGAUACGAGUUUAGGUGGUAUCCGCAACAAAGUCUUGUAUCACAGUCCUUACAACAACCGGAAUUCGAACUGAGUGGGUACUUCCGUCUGACCAUGUCAAGCUCCCGAAAGUGUAUCCUCCUUGCACUCUCUGACUUGUGGUGAAUGUCACCAUAAAUGUUGCGCUUCUACUGCUUCCUUUGGUGAAAGUAAUCACAGAUGGUUCUACCGACACAUCUAUCCCUGCUGGAGCUUCAACCACUAAAUGAUAUGUUGCUUCCGCUGGCCCAACGUUAGUCACAGUGUGCCGAAGCAUGACAUGGUCCUUGAGGUCCGGCACGACAAUUGACGGGAGGUUGAGAUUGAGGUAGUAGGACUCACAACCAUCUAAAUAUCCAAGAGUGCAGUUCAAAAACUUGUUGUACUCUCUUGCAUCCACGUCAUAAACCAAGCCAGGGUCAACAGCUCUAUCUGGGUCUAUGUGUCCACCACCAAAGUCGAAGGGGUCAGCUAGUUUCCUUGGGACCGCUUCUGCUUGGAUUGGCAUGCCAAAAC
This 34089-nucleotide long non-coding RNA is filed under the name Triticum aestivum (bread wheat). Its description in RNAcentral is "long non-coding RNA (TAES_LNC014189)". Lineage: Eukaryota; Viridiplantae; Streptophyta; Magnoliopsida; Poales; Poaceae. The record is from RNAcentral.